AUUUUUUUCCAGAUGUAGUAAUACUCAACACACUGGGCUACAGUUUUUGUCUGGAUCUAGUGGAGGAAGAGAGAAGCCGGCUAAGGACAGUGCCUCAGGAGCAGCAGGGACAGAGAAUCACAAAGUCCUCCCGGGGAAGAAGGGGUUCAGAGAGAAGCCACCAGAGUCAACACCAUCUAAGCUCUGCACGCUCUGAGCAACAAGGCUGGCCCAGGAACUCUUCUCUCCAGGAAAACGCACACAAAGGUGCACACGAGGACGCUCGCUGUGACAUCAUGCGGAGCCACACGUCUGCCGACCGGGACUUCUAAUUAAAGCAGAGCGUCCUCACGUGGUGGAUACCUCAGAGCCUUAUGCGACAGCUAGGCAAGCCCUCCAAAAAACUGCAGAGGAAGGAACACUUCCCGACUCAUUCCGGCUUCCCUGGUGGCGCAGUGGUUGAGAGUCCAUCUGCCGAUGCAGGAGACAUGGGUUCGUGCACCGGUCUGGGAGGAUCCCACAUGCCGCGGAGCCUGCAUGUCCGGAGCCUGUGCCCCGCAACGGGAGAGGCCACAACAGUGAGAGGCCCCGCGUA
Physeter macrocephalus (sperm whale) is the source of this 574-nucleotide long non-coding RNA. RefSeq lists it as uncharacterized. The record is from RefSeq and is a predicted model, not a curated record. The transcript is spliced from 3 exons. Lineage: Eukaryota; Metazoa; Chordata; Mammalia; Artiodactyla; Physeteridae.